AACGAACGCUGGCGGCAUGCCUAACACAUGCGAGUCGAACGAGACCUUCGGGUCUAGUGGCGCACGGGUGCGUAACGCGUGGGAACCUGCCCUUAGGUUCGGAAUAACUCCCCGAAAGGGGUGCUAAUACCGGAUAAUGUCUUCGGACCAAAGAUUUAUCGCCUUUGGAUGGGCCCGCGUUGGAUUAGCUAGUUGGUAGGGUAAAAGCCUACCAAGGCGACGAUCCAUAGCUGGUCUGAGAGGAUGAUCAGCCACACUGGGACUGAGACACGGCCCAGACUCCUACGGGAGGCAGCAGUAGGGAAUAUUGGACAAUGGGCGAAAGCCUGAUCCAGCAGUGCCGCGUGAGUGAUGAAGGCCUUAGGGUUGUAAAGCUCUUUUACCCGGGAUGAUAAUGACAGUACCGGGAGAAUAAGCUCCGGCUAACUCCGUG
This 433-nucleotide ribosomal RNA is filed under the name uncultured bacterium. RNAcentral describes it as "partial 16S ribosomal RNA". It matches the Rfam family "Bacterial small subunit ribosomal RNA", at positions 29 to 507 of the family's 1533-position model. The record is from RNAcentral.